GGCUUUCCCUUCGGGGACAGAGUGACAGGUGGUGCAUGGUUGUCGUCAGCUCGUGUCGUGAGAUGUUGGGUUAAGUCCCGCAACGAGCGCAACCCUUGAUCUUAGUUGCCAGCAUUCAGUUGGGCACUCUAAGGUGACUGCCGGUGACAAACCGGAGGAAGGUGGGGAUGACGUCAAAUCAUCAUGCCCCUUAUGACCUGGGCUACACACGUGCUACAAUGGACAGAACAAAGGGCUGCGAGACCGCAAGGUUUAGCCAAUCCCACAAAUCUGUUCUCAGUUCGGAUCGCAGUCUGCAACUCGACUGCGUGAAGCUGGAAUCGCUAGUAAUCGCGGAUCAGCAUGCCGCGGUGAAUACGUUCCCGGGUCUUGUACACACC
Molecule: ribosomal RNA, 380 nt
Filed under: Bacillus pumilus
Lineage: Bacteria; Bacillati; Bacillota; Bacilli; Caryophanales; Bacillaceae
Description: bacterial SSU rRNA
Rfam family: Bacterial small subunit ribosomal RNA
Source: RNAcentral